Molecule: ribosomal RNA, 389 nt
Filed under: Marinobacter excellens
Lineage: Bacteria; Pseudomonadati; Pseudomonadota; Gammaproteobacteria; Pseudomonadales; Marinobacteraceae
Description: bacterial SSU rRNA
Rfam family: Bacterial small subunit ribosomal RNA
Source: RNAcentral
UUGAGAGGAUGAUCAGCCACAUCGGGACUGAGACACGGCCCGAACUCCUACGGGAGGCAGCAGUGGGGAAUAUUGGACAAUGGGGGCAACCCUGAUCCAGCCAUGCCGCGUGUGUGAAGAAGGCUUUCGGGUUGUAAAGCACUUUCAGCGAGGAGGAAGGCUCUAAAGCUAAUACCUUUAGGGAUUGACGUUACUCGCAGAAGAAGCACCGGCUAACUCCGUGCCAGCAGCCGCGGUAAUACGGAGGGUGCAAGCGUUAAUCGGAAUUACUGGGCGUAAAGCGCGCGUAGGUGGUUGAGUAAGCGAGAUGUGAAAGCCCCGGGCUUAACCUGGGAACGGCAUUUCGAACUGCUCGGCUAGAGUGUGGUAGAGGGUAGUGGAAUUUCCUG